RNAcentral lists this ribosomal RNA (202 nucleotides) under Clostridioides difficile. RNAcentral's name for it is "partial 23S ribosomal RNA". It matches the Rfam family "Bacterial large subunit ribosomal RNA", at positions 2572 to 2774 of the family's 2925-position model. Lineage: Bacteria; Bacillati; Bacillota; Clostridia; Peptostreptococcales; Peptostreptococcaceae. The record is from RNAcentral.
UGGGCUGUUCGCCCAUUAAAGUGGUACGCGAGCUGGGUUCAGAACGUCGUGAGACAGUUCGGUCCCUAUCCGUCGCAGGCGUAGGAAAUUUGAGAAGUCCUGUCCUUAGUACGAGAGGACCGGGAUGGACGUACCUCUGGUGUACCAGUUGUCCUGCCAAGGGCAUGGCUGGGUAGCUAUGUACGGAAUGGAUAAGCGCUGA